This 992-nucleotide long non-coding RNA is filed under the name Malus domestica (apple). RNAcentral describes it as "long non-coding RNA (MDOM_LNC007034)". Lineage: Eukaryota; Viridiplantae; Streptophyta; Magnoliopsida; Rosales; Rosaceae. The record is from RNAcentral.
UGGGUUUGGGUUUUUUUUUUAAUUAAAAAAUUAUUAUUUUUGCCACGUGGCACACAUUUGGCAGCCAUGUAGUACAAAUGUCGCAGUUACGUCAGCAUUUAACGGAUUAAUGGAUAGAAAAUUUAACGGAUGUAUUAUAUUGAAAUAAAAUAAUACUUGAGGUAUGAAAGUGAAAUGUUUUAAAGAUGUUGUAUGAGAUUAUAAUAGACCUCAAACUUGAAGGGUUACUAUGUAAUUUACCAUUUUUUUAUUGAGCCAAAACCAAUAGAACAUUAGAACAAACGAAUGAGGAUAGGAUUCUUACAUUCUAUCCAUUCGUUGUAUAUCAUGCGGUUAAUUUUCAUUAGGUACUGUUUGUGUUUAAUUUUAAAUAAAAAAAUUCAAAAUGAUUUUUUGCCGUAUGAUAUAUGCAAUGUUUUAAAAACUAUAGGCACUAGUUGGGUGGCAGACUGGGGUCUAUUGCCUAGGCGGCUAGGAGGGGGCCAUGAGGACGGAUUUAAGUAAAAUUUAUUAUAUAUUGUAUAAAUAAGUGUCUUCGUAUACUUAAAAAAACAUAAUUGUAUUGAGAUAUAUAAGUUGCAAAAUAUAAUGACAUAUAUAUUAUAAAGUAUUAUAACAUAAUAAAAAUAUGGGAAAUAAACAUAUAAUGUGUGUUAAUUGAAGUAUUCAACAAGUAUUUUACAAUUUAUUAAAUAAAUAAAAAGCAAAAUGAAAGUGACAUAUUUUCUAUCUAAAUGAGAGUUGUGAGUCGUGACCUAGGAGGGUCUGGACGGGCUACGCUAGCACCUAGGCGCUCUAAGCAGGUGCCUAAAUAGAUCUAGGUGUCAUUUCUUUAUUUUCAAACGCUUAAGAAUUAAUCGGGAUGGUAACCAGCUGCCUAGCGCCUGAACAAGAAAUAUUGAAUAUAUGAUAAACGAAUACAAUAUGAGAAUCUUUACGAUCCUCACAAACUGAAUCUGAAUGGUUCCAAAUCCAGAACAGAGUCAACAGAC